AAUUGGUUGCCUCCCAUUGAACGUGUAUGUUACCUCUGAAACGAAGAAUUCCUGUACCUAAACCAAGAUUGUCCCAAAAGAUAUGCUCUAGAACCUCCAUCAAUAAUAAUAUUGAUGUGGGCAAACUGGCGGCGCGUAUCGAAGAUGAAGUGGCGCAUAAGAAAGACUCACUUAGAAUAGUGCAGAUUUGACAUCCGAUGUCGGAUUGACCUGAAUUAUACAUUUUCGGAAAGCCCCUAUGAGACGAAUGCUCGUAUAAGUUGAAAUACUUGCUGAUUGUUGUUGAUCA
Molecule: long non-coding RNA, 289 nt
Filed under: Medicago truncatula (barrel medic)
Lineage: Eukaryota; Viridiplantae; Streptophyta; Magnoliopsida; Fabales; Fabaceae
Description: long non-coding RNA (MTRU_LNC006140)
Source: RNAcentral